RNAcentral lists this small RNA (28 nucleotides) under Bombyx mori (domestic silkworm). Its description in RNAcentral is "ovarian small RNA-11405". The record is from RNAcentral. Lineage: Eukaryota; Metazoa; Arthropoda; Insecta; Lepidoptera; Bombycidae.
ACGAACGUUAACGGUAGGCGUCUCGACG